GGUCCCUUCGUCUAGCCUGGUCCAGGACGCCAGGUUUUCAUCCUGGCAACACGGGUUCAAAUCCCGUAGGGAUCA
RNAcentral lists this transfer RNA (75 nucleotides) under Phycisphaeraceae bacterium. Its description in RNAcentral is "tRNA-Glu". It matches the Rfam family "tRNA". From Rfam's summary of the family: Transfer RNA (tRNA) molecules are approximately 80 nucleotides in length. The record is from RNAcentral. Lineage: Bacteria; Pseudomonadati; Planctomycetota; Phycisphaerae; Phycisphaerales; Phycisphaeraceae.